This 1850-nucleotide small RNA is filed under the name Pan troglodytes (chimpanzee). RNAcentral's name for it is "processed transcript". The record is from RNAcentral. Lineage: Eukaryota; Metazoa; Chordata; Mammalia; Primates; Hominidae.
GUGCCGGGGGAGGAGAGGCGGCGGGCAGGUGGGCGUGAAACUAUUCCUCUCCCCCCAUAAGAGCGGAGCGAGACGGUGAGCGUCCUGACCACCCUGGAGCGUAGGUUCAACCUGCAGAGCGCUGACGUGGGUGUGAUCGCUAGCAGCUUCGAGAUCGGGAACCUGGCGCUCAUUCUCUUCGUGAGCUACUUCGGGGCACGCGGGCACCGGCCGCGCCUGAUCGGCUGCGGCGGGAUCGUCAUGGCGCUGGGCGCGCUGCUGUCGGCGCUGCCCGAGUUCCUGACCCACCAGUACAAGUACGAGGCGGGCGAGAUCCGCUGGGGCGCCGAGGGCCGCGACGUCUGCGCAGCCAACGGCUCGGGCGGCGACGAGGGGCCCGACCCCGACCUCAUCUGCCGCAACCGGACGGCUACCAACAUGAUGUACUUGCUGCUCAUUGGGGCCCAGGUGCUCCUGGGCAUCGGUGCUACCCCUGUGCAGCCCCUGGGCGUCUCCUACAUCGACGACCACGUGCGGAGAAAGGACUCCUCUCUCUAUAUAGGAAUCCUGUUCACGAUGCUGGUAUUCGGACCAGCCUGCGGGUUUAUCCUGGGCUCUUUCUGUACCAAAAUCUACGUGGAUGCGGUCUUCAUUGACACAAGUAACCUGGACAUCACUCCGGACGACCCCCGCUGGAUCGGAGCCUGGUGGGGUGGCUUUCUGCUCUGCGGUGCCUUACUCUUCUUCUCUUCCCUCUUGAUGUUUGGGUUUCCACAGUCCCUGCCCCCGCACUCAGACCCCGCCAUGGAAAGCGAGCAGGCCAUGCUCUCCGAAAGAGAAUACGAGAGACCCAAGCCCAGCAACGGGGUCCUGAGGCACCCCCUGGAGCCAGACAGCAGUGCCUCCUGUUUCCAGCAGCUGAGAGUGAUCCCGAAGGUCACCAAGCACCUGCUCUCAAACCCUGUGUUCACCUGCAUCAUCCUGGCCGCCUGCAUGGAGAUUGCAGUGGUGGCUGGCUUUGCUGCCUUUUUGGGGAAGUACCUGGAGCAGCAGUUUAACCUCACCACCUCUUCUGCCAACCAGCUGCUUGGGAUGACUGCGAUCCCGUGUGCUUGUCUGGGUAUCUUCCUGGGAGGUCUUUUGGUGAAGAAGCUCAGCCUGUCUGCCCUGGGGGCCAUUCGGAUGGCUAUGCUCGUCAACCUGGUGUCCACUGCUUGCUACGUCUCCUUCCUCUUCCUGGGCUGCGACACUGGCCCUGUGGCUGGGGUUACUGUUCCCUAUGGAAACAGCACAGCACCUGGCUCAGCCCUGGACCCCUACUCGCCCUGCAAUAAUAACUGUGAAUGCCAAACCGAUUCCUUCACUCCAGUGUGUGGGGCAGAUGGCAUCACCUACCUGUCUGCCUGCUUUGCUGGCUGCAACAGCACGAAUCUCACGGGCUGUGCGUGCCUCACCACCGUCCCUGCUGAGAACGCAACCGUGGUUCCUGGAAAAUGCCCCAGUCCUGGGUGCCAAGAGGCCUUCCUCACCUUCCUCUGUGUGAUGUGUAUCUGCAGCCUGAUCGGUGCCAUGGCACAGACACCCUCAGUCAUCAUCCUCAUCAGGACAGUCAGCCCUGAACUCAAGUCUUACGCUUUGGGAGUUCUUUUUCUCCUCCUUCGUUUGUUGGGACCCAGUAAGAUUAACCACCAUUAUUGUUCAUGUGAAGGCCGGCAAAGACAUCAGAUCCUGUGACAUCGUCAACUUUUUUGCUAGCCUAGCAAGGGCAAUGGGGAUACAAUGGGGAUAUCACAGGUGUCUUGGCUACUCCUUUUCUCUCCGGGCUGUGGGCAAACUCUCUGCUCCUGAGUUGGUCUAGAAUCUUGUUCCUG